This 468-nucleotide ribosomal RNA is filed under the name uncultured bacterium. RNAcentral's name for it is "partial 16S ribosomal RNA". It matches the Rfam family "Bacterial small subunit ribosomal RNA", at positions 28 to 507 of the family's 1533-position model. The record is from RNAcentral.
GACGAACGCUGGCGGCGUGCUUAACACAUGCAAGUCGAACGGAAAGGCCCUGCUUUUGUGGGGUGCUCGAGUGGCGAACGGGUGAGUAACACGUGAGUUACCUGCCCUUGUCUUUGGGAUAACUUCAGGAAACUGGGGCUAAUACCGGAUAGGAGCUCCUGCUGCAUGGUGGGGGUUGGAAAGUUUCGGCGGUUGGGGAUGGACUCGCGGCUUAUCAGCUUGUUGGUGGGGUAGUGGCUUACCAAGGCUUUGACGGGUAGCCGGCCUGAGAGGGUGACCGGCCACAUUGGGACUGAGAUACGGCCCAGACUCCUACGGGAGGCAGCAGUGGGGAAUAUUGCACAAUGGGCGGAAGCCUGAUGCAGCAACGCCGCGUGCGGGAUGACGGCCUUCGGGUUGUAAACCGCUUUCGCCUGUGACGAAGCGUGAGUGACGGUAAUGGGUAAAGAAGCACCGGCUAACUACGUG